CCUACGGGAGGCAGCAGCAAGGAAUUUUCGUCAAUGGGGGAAACCCUGAACGAGCAACGCCGCGUGGGCGAAGAAGUCUUUCGGGAUGUAAAGCCCUUUUCCCUGUGAAACGGUAACAGGGGAAUAAGCAUCGGCUAACUACGUGCCAGCAGCCGCGGUAAUACGUAGGAUGCAAGCGUUGUCCGGAAUUAUUGGGCGUAAAGAGCGCGCAGGCGGUCACUCAAGUCAGAUGUGAAAUAUCCGGGCUUAACCCGGAGGGGCAUUUGAAACUGAGUAACUAGAGUACAGCAGAGGAUAGCGGAAUUCCCGGUGUAGUGGUGAAAUGCGUAGAUAUCGGGAGGAACACCAGUGGCGAAGGCGGCUAUCUGGGCUGAACUGACGCUGAGGCGCGAAGGCUAGGGGAGCAAACAGGAUUAGAUACCCUUGUAGUC
Molecule: ribosomal RNA, 431 nt
Filed under: uncultured bacterium
Lineage: Bacteria
Description: partial 16S ribosomal RNA
Rfam family: Bacterial small subunit ribosomal RNA
Source: RNAcentral